Molecule: ribosomal RNA, 586 nt
Filed under: Candida albicans
Lineage: Eukaryota; Fungi; Ascomycota; Pichiomycetes; Serinales; Debaryomycetaceae
Description: eukaryotic LSU rRNA
Rfam family: Eukaryotic large subunit ribosomal RNA
Source: RNAcentral
ACGACUGUUGUGCGUCAGCAGCGGCGAGUGAGCGGCAAAAGCUCAAAUUUGAAAUCUGGCGUCUUUGGCGUCCGAGUUGUAAUUUGAAGAAGGUAUCUUUGGGCCCGGCUCUUGUCUAUGUUCCUUGGAACAGGACGUCACAGAGGGUGAGAAUCCCGUGCGAUGAGAUGACCCGGGUCUGUGUAAAGUUCCUUCGACGAGUCGAGUUGUUUGGGAAUGCAGCUCUAAGUGGGUGGUAAAUUCCAUCUAAAGCUAAAUAUUGGCGAGAGACCGAUAGCGAACAAGUACAGUGAUGGAAAGAUGAAAAGAACUUUGAAAAGAGAGUGAAAAAGUACGUGAAAUUGUUGAAAGGGAAGGGCUUGAGAUCAGACUUGGUAUUUUGCAUGCUGCUCUCUCGGGGGCGGCCGCUGCGGUUUACCGGGCCAGCAUCGGUUUGGAGCGGCAGGAUAAUGGCGGAGGAAUGUGGCACGGCUUCUGCUGUGUGUUAUAGCCUCUGACGAUACUGCCAGCCUAGACCGAGGACUGCGGUUUUUACCUAGGAUGUUGGCAUAAUGAUCUUAAGUCGCCCGUCUUGAACCACGGACCC